RNAcentral lists this ribosomal RNA (2921 nucleotides) under Oceanotoga sp. DSM 15011. RNAcentral describes it as "23S ribosomal RNA". It matches the Rfam family "Bacterial large subunit ribosomal RNA". The record is from RNAcentral. Lineage: Bacteria; Thermotogati; Thermotogota; Thermotogae; Petrotogales; Petrotogaceae.
GUCCAAAGUAAUAAGAGCAUACGGGGAAUGCCUAGGUAGCAGGAGGCGAAGAAGGACGUGGUAAGCUGCGAAAAGCUACGGGGAGAAGCAAACAAUCGAAGAUCCGUAGAUAUCCGAAUGGGGCAACCCGAAAGAGCUGGAAACAGAGGCGAACCCUGGGAAGUGAAACAUCUCAGUACCAGGAGGAAAAGAAAUCAAACGAGAUUCCUUUAGUAGUGGCGAGCGAAAAAGGAAGAGCCUAAAAGAUAUUAGUGUAAAAGGAUAUGGCCGUUGCUAAUAUCUGGUAGAGGGAUAGAGAUAGCCGAACCAUAAGAAAGGCGCUUAAGAAUCGGAGAUAGAGGAACUAUAUGGGAAGAUAGACGAAAAAGGGUGAAAGUCCCGUACUCGAAAUCGAAGAAGGCGAAGUUUUCUAAUCCCAAGUAGAGUAGGACACGAGAAAUCCUGCUUGAAUCAGGGUGGACCACCAUCCAAGGCUAAAUACUAACUGCUGACCGAUAGAGAAGAGUACCGUGAGGGAAAGGUGAAAAGGACCCCGGGAGGGGAGUGAAAGAGAACCUGAAACCGUAUGCUUACAGGAAGCGGGAGCGCAAGUGACCGUGUGCCUUUUGAUUAAUGUGCCCGUGAGUUAUUGUUACUGGCGAGGUAAAUCCGGAAGAGGAAAAGCCGAAGGGAAACCAAGUUUUAAAAGAGCGAAAGUCAGUAGUAAUAGACCCGAAGCCAGGUGAGCUACAUAUGUGCAGGUUGAAAGUCAGGUAAAACUGAGUGGAGGACCGAACCGGUAGAUAGUAAAAAAUCUUCGGAUGACAUGUGUGUAGGAGUGAAAAGCUAAUCGAACCUGGUGAUAGCUGGUACUCCCCGAAACGUGUGUAGGCACGGCCUAGAUAGAAGCAGUAAUUGGGGUAGAGCACUGAUUGGCGUAUGGGGGUCGACCUCAGAAACCAGUCAAACUACGAAUACAAGAAACUGAGAAAUCUGGAGACAGACUACGGAGGAAAAGCUCCGUGGUCGAGAGGGAAACAGCCCAGACCGACAGCUAAGGUUCCGAAGGGAAAGCUAAGUGUGAAAGGUAGUGAAGUUCUUUAGACAGCCGGGAGGUUGGCUUAGAAGCAGCCAUCCUUUAAAGAGUGCGUAACAGCUCACCGGUAGAAGGACAAUGCGCCGAAAAUGUAACGGAGCUAAAGCUUUACACCGAAGCUACGGAAUGGCAAAAGUCAUUGGUAGGGGAGCAAUGUAUGCUAGGGAGAAGGAUAAUUGAAAGAUUAUCUGGACGAAAUACAAGAGCGGAUGCGGGCAUGAGUAACGAAAUGGGAGUGAGAAUCUCCCACCCCGAAAGUCUAAGGGUACCUGGGGAAGGGUCGUCCGCCCAGGGUAAGUCGGAUCCUAAGGGGAACCCGAAAGGGGUAACCGAUGGGAAACAGGUAAAGAAUCCUGUACCGUGAAUUAUUGAAUAAUGAGGUGUGACGCAGGAGGCGAAUUUCCGAGACCAAGUUGCAAGGUUUUCUAAAUGCAAAAGCCGAAGAGGCUCCUAGGGAAAACCGGGAGAAGAGGAAGAUGUAUGAUGGGAAGGUCGAAAGAGACCAACGGAGAGGAAUCACACUGCCAAGAAAAGCAUCGCAUUGUGCUUGAGAUAAUGAGCGACCGUUCUGAAAACCGACACAGGUAGACGGGCUGAGAAGGCUAAGGGGAGCGGAAUAACUUCUGUUAAGGAACUAGGCAAAAUAGCCCCGUAACUUCGGGAAAAGGGGUGCUUAUUCGGGUGUUGAAAGAUGCGUGAAUAAGUUGCAGUGACAAGGCCCUGGCGACUGUUUACCAAAAACACAGGUCUCUGCGAACACGUGAAGUGGAAGUAUAGGGACUGACGCCUGCCCAGUGCCGGAAGGUUAAGAGGAGGAGUGCAAGCUUCGAAUUGAAGCCCCGGUAAACGGCGGCCGUAACUAUAACGGUCCUAAGGUAGCGAAAUUCCUUGUCGGGUAAGUUCCGACCUGCAUGAAUGGCGUAACGAUCAGGGCACUGUCUCAACAGAAGAUCCGGUGAAAUUACAGACUCGGUGAAGAUGCCGAGGACCCGCAGUUAGACGGAAAGACCCCAUGGAGUUUUACUGUAGCCUGACAUUGUAGUUUGUCAAUAUGUGUACAGGAUAGGUGGGAGGCGAAGAUAACAUAUCGCAAGGUAUGAAGGAGCCGAAAGUGGGAUACCACCCUCAUAUUGGUGUGCUACUAACAGAGGUAUGUGAAGAGCAUAAUCUGGACAUUGUUAGGUAGGCAGUUUGACUGGGGCGGUCGCCUCCUAAAGAGUAACGGAGGCGUGCGAAGGUCGGCUCAGGUGGGUUGGAAAUCCACCGAAGAGUGCAAGGGCAAAAGCCGGCUUAACUGAGAGAUUGACAGAUCGACCAGAAGGGAAACCUGGUCCUAGUGACCCGGCGGAAUAGAGUGGAAUAACCGUCGAUAAACGGAUAAAAGUUACCCUGGGGAUAACAGGCUAAUCACGCUCGAGAGUUCAUAUCGACGGCGUGGUUUGGCACCUCGAUGUCGGCUCAUCGCAUCCUGGGGCUGAAGAAGGUCCCAAGGGUUGGGCUGUUCGCCCAUUAAAGCGGUACGUGAGCUGGGUUCAGAACGUCGUAAGACAGUUCGGUCCCUAUCUGCUGCGGGCGUAGGAAGUUUGAGGGGGGUUGCUCUUAGUACGAGAGGACCAGAGUGAGUGUACCGCUGGUGAACCAGUUGUCAGGCAAAUGGCAGGAGCUGGGUAGCUAAGUACAUGACCGAUAACCGCUGAAAGCAUCUAAGUGGGAAACGGGCCCCAAGAUAAGACUUCCCGCUCGAAAGAGUUAAGGGUAGUUCGAGACUAGAACGUAGAUAGGCCACAGAUGUAAGUGCAGUGAUGUAUUGAGUCGAGUGGUACUAAUAACCCGAGGCUUUGGACAA